Strongylocentrotus purpuratus (purple sea urchin) is the source of this 605-nucleotide long non-coding RNA. RefSeq lists it as uncharacterized. Lineage: Eukaryota; Metazoa; Echinodermata; Echinoidea; Camarodonta; Strongylocentrotidae. The transcript has 2 exons. The record is from RefSeq and is a predicted model, not a curated record.
ACAAAAAAACAACAACAAGAACAACAACAAAUGUCGUCGACUUAGAUCUAAGUCGACGGUAUUUUAUGUUGAAAAGAACUUCACCAGUCUACUCUUCACUAUGGAAUACCGUUUGCGCAAUCUUCUUGACUUGAAUUCUGUAUUUUUUAAUUCAAUUAAUGGAGCGGAAUAUAACAAUGUCAAGUUAACGAUUGAUACUGAAUUCUAAAUUAGGAAAAUAAUUGGAUGAGGUUUGUAAAGUCUUAAGUAAUAUUUACCGGCGGUAUGUAAUAAAGUAUAAUUUAUAUUAUAGCAUGAAAAUAAACAUGCAGCGGCACUCCGUACAUCGUUGGGCUGUCUAGUCUCAACGAACUUGGAUUUCGAUGGUCUGUCUGCAACGUAGGUCUUCGGAUACGUUCAAGUUCAUUUAUCCAUAAUGGCCUCGACAAAUGAUCGUGAUAUUGAAACUUAGACUGCUGACGACAUCAAUAGAAUGCUGGUGGUUGGUAUUCCUCCCGACGUAUACAAGGCAUAAUAUAGAGAGGGGCGGAAAGGAAAUAGACCUGUAUAAAGCAGCGUUGGCAGGCAAAAACAUGGCAGACAUGGGAGACAAAGACAAAUCAGUA